This 397-nucleotide ribosomal RNA is filed under the name uncultured bacterium. RNAcentral describes it as "bacterial SSU rRNA". It matches the Rfam family "Bacterial small subunit ribosomal RNA", at positions 958 to 1356 of the family's 1533-position model. The record is from RNAcentral.
AACGCGAAGAACCUUACCAGCUCUUGACAUUUUGUGACAACUCUAGAGAUAGAGCGUUCCUUUCGGGGACAGAAUGACAGGUGGUGCAUGGUUGUCGUCAGCUCGUGUCGUGAGAUGUUGGGUUAAGUCCCGUAACGAGCGCAACCCUUGUUGUUAGUUGCCAUCAUUAAGUUGGGCACUUUAACGAGACUGCCGGUGAUAAACCGGAGGAAGGCGGGGAUGACGUCAAAUCAUCAUGCCCCUUAUGAGUUGGGCUACACACGUGCUACAAUGGACGGUACAAAGGGCAGCGAUCCCGCAAGGGCAAGCUAAUCUUUCAAACCAUUCUCAGUUCGGAUUGCACUCUGCAACUCGAGUGCAUGAAGUCUGGAAUCGCUAGUAAUCCGUGAAUUCCAAG